RNAcentral lists this unclassified non-coding RNA (2853 nucleotides) under Trichogramma pretiosum. RNAcentral's name for it is "dNA repair and recombination protein RAD54B-like, transcript variant X3". Lineage: Eukaryota; Metazoa; Arthropoda; Insecta; Hymenoptera; Trichogrammatidae. The record is from RNAcentral.
UUCAUGGUGCAAGUCUGCUGCAAAAAGCCGAUGGUGUUGUUUAGAAACAAUUUUCUCCAAAUUUCGCUGAAGCCAUAAUGAAUCGAAAUAAUCGUUCCGGUGGAAUUAAGUUUCGGGAAUUAGAUUACAAAAAGUCUUCGCCGUACGACAAAGCAAAGCAUGACAACAACCAGCGCAAAAAAGAAAAUGUAUUGAAGUUGUUUGCUGCAGCAGAUUUGAAAGUAACACACGAAGAUCUUGCUGAAAAAGAAAAUGCAAACUCUCGUACCCCGAAUCUUUCCACUUUUGAAAAUGGUCCGACUAUUGAUGAAAACAUUGACAGUGACAGUCAGACUAAAAUAGACAAUCAAGAGGAUCAAGGAGGAGACAACCGAGAGGAGCCUAUAAAACAUCAAGCGAAGAAGAUGAAAUUGGAUAAUAUUAAUGAAAAAUCAAUAACGAGUCCUAAACAACUCACUCCCGAUUCAUCCAAUCAUAAAUUACAAACUAAUCAGUCAGUGCAACAAAAGUGUAUAAACAGCGAUACAAGGAUUUAUAAUGUGAUGAUUGGGAAAAUUUCAACUCGAAAACACAAACAAUGGGAAGAUGAUGGAAUCUUGGAAGUUCGUGGUAAAAGUGCUACAUUAAAGGACGUCAAUGGAAAAUUUAUUGGUAAAACAACAGUUAAACCAGAAAUGAUAGAAGAAGGUUUCAGAAUUUGUAUGAGCGGCAAAGAAAUUGAAAUUGUGGAAUUGGCUUCUUCUCAAGAAACAGCAAAUGUUCAAACUUCUGAUGAUGGAAAUAUUAGCAGCAUUGUUUUGGAACCUCCCACCAAGAAAGUAAAAACAUCCAAAGGAUUCAUUCCAGUAAAGUCGAGUAGUUUGCAUUUCAAUUUUGAACCACUUAUAAUGCCAAAUCCAACAUUUAAUAUUGAAUCCUCAAUAGACGAUGUAGAACAAAAACUGCAUGAAGUUUCUGUAGACGGUUGUUUAGUUUCUGCUCUAAGACCUCAUCAACGUGAAGGUAUUAUUUUUAUGUACAAAUGUGUGAUGGGAAUGGCUGACCCCAGAUAUAAAGGUGCAAUUUUGGCUGAUGAAAUGGGUUUAGGAAAAACCUUGCAGUGUAUUACACUAGUAUGGACACUUUUAAAAAAAGGUCCUACUGGAAAACCUGUCAUAAAAAGAGCGCUAAUUGUAGCCCCCAGUAGUUUAUGUGGAAAUUGGAAUAAAGAGUUUAGAAAGUGGCUGGGAAGCAUGAAAAUUUCUCCUUAUGUUGUAGAGGGUAAACAAAAAGUUAAAGAUUUUAAAAAAACUCCUAGAGCUUGUGUUAUGAUAAUAAGUUAUGAAAUGUUUAUUAGAAAUGUAGAAGAUAUUAAUGACUUAAAGUUUGAUCUCUUAAUAUGUGAUGAAGGACAUAGACUAAAAAAUAGUGAAGUAAAAACAUUAAAGUCACUAAGUCAAUUGAGUUGUGAAAAGAGAAUAUUGUUAACUGGUACUCCAGUGCAAAAUGAUUUAGAAGAGUUUUAUACGUUAGCUAAUUUUGUAAGCCCAGGUAUUCUUGGUAGUUUUCAUGAGUAUAAAAGUUAUUAUGAAAAUCCAAUAGUUGUGUCCCAAAGAGCCUCAGCUGAUGAAGAAGAUAUUGAACUAGGACAGAGUAGAGCAAAAGAAUUGCAUGAAAGAUCAAAAAUUUUUAUACUUAGACGAACAAAUAAUUUAAUUAAUCAGUAUUUGCCUCAAAAGCAUGAACUUGUAAUAUUUUGUCGUUUAACAAAAGAACAAGAUAACUUGUAUGAACUAAUUACUGAUUACUGGUUCAAUAGAACCCUCAUGGAUGUAAAUGUUAUGCCACUAGCUAUUAUAACAGCUUUGAAAAAAGUUUGUAAUCAUCCAUACCUUUUCACAUCUGAAAAAACAGAUAUUCUGAAUGAAAUAUUACCGAAUAUCCCAACGAAUUUAUCUGCAAUCAACACAUCUUUCCAGUAUUCAAGUAAAUUUAAAGUAGUUCAAGCUAUUAUUCAAGACUUAAAAAGAACAUCAGAAAAACUAGUAUUGAUAUCAUAUUUUACACAAACUUUGGAUUUACUGGAAAAAAUUUGUUGUACAGAAGGUUUGCAAUUUUGCAGAUUAGAUGGAUCCACAAAUACAUCAAAUAGAACAAAAUUAGUGGAAAAGUUUAAUUCAAAAGAUAAUAAUUCAAUAAGAAUUUUUUUACUCAGUGCCAAGGCUGGUGGAACUGGAUUGAAUUUGAUAGGUGCAUCCAGACUAAUUUUGUUUGAUUCCGAUUGGAAUCCAGCUAAUGAUGCGCAAGCUAUGGCUCGAAUAUGGCGUGAUGGGCAAAAGCGAUCUGUUUAUAUUUACAGAUUAUUAACUACUGGUACAAUUGAAGAAAAAAUUUACCAAAGACAAAUUAGUAAAACUAGUUUAAGUGAAGCUGUUGUCGAUGCAAAUCAUAUAUCUUCUCUAAAAUUGUCAAAAAGUGAACUAAAGGAUUUAUUCUCUCUAGAUAGUAAAACUAUCUCUGUUACUCAUGAUCUCAUGGACUGUUCUUGUUCUGGAUCUGGUGAGAUACCUUCAAAGGAACAAGAAAUUCUAUCUACAAGUGAAAAUUCUAGAGAUUGUCAGUUCAGUCUUAAAAAAAAACCAAAGCAACAAAUUACUAUUAAUCAACUUCUUUGUUGGCAGCAUUUCAAGCAACCGAUCAGCUCAGAGCUAUUACAAGAUUUAAUGUUAAGUAAAGUAAAUUCUUUAAUCACGUUUAUUUUUAAAAAUUCAGUAGAAAAAUAAAUUGUUGUUAACUUUUACAAUAUACAUGAGAUCAACACUCAUCCAGUAUCAAAAGCCAUUCUUUCUAAGAAUUGCGGUGGCGUACCCUCCC